RNAcentral lists this ribosomal RNA (1264 nucleotides) under metagenome. RNAcentral describes it as "bacterial LSU rRNA". It matches the Rfam family "Bacterial large subunit ribosomal RNA", at positions 1644 to 2925 of the family's 2925-position model. The record is from RNAcentral.
GUACCAUAACCGACACAGGUGGGUAGGUAGAGUAUACUAAGGGGCGCGAGAUAACUCUCUCUAAGGAACUCGGCAAAAUGACUCCGUAACUUCGGGAGAAGGAGUGCCUUAUUUAUAAGGUUGCAAUAACAAGAUCCAAGCAACUGCUUAUCAAAAACACAGGUCUCCGCUAAGUCGUAAGACGAUGUAUGGGGGCUGACGCCUGCCCAGUGCCAGAAGGUUAAAGAAGUUGGUUAGUGUAUGCGAAGCUGAUGACUGAAGCCCUGGUGAACGGCGGCCGUAACAAUAACGGUCCUAAGGUAGCGAAAUUCCUUGUCGGGUAAGUUCCGACCCGCACGAAAGGCGUAAUGAUUUGGAUACUGUCUCGGAGAGAGGCUCGGUGAAAUAGACUUGUCUGUGAAGAUGCGGACUACCUGCACCAGGACAGAAAGACCCUAUGAAGCUUUACUGUAACUUGAAAUUGGAAUUGGACUUUGCUUGCGCAGUAUAGGUGGGAAGCGUUGAAGAUAUUCUUGCGGGAGUAUUGGAGCUAUCAGUGAGAUACCACUCUUGUAAUGUUAGAUUUCUAACUUUGAACCAUAAUCUGGUCAAAGAACAGUUUCAGGUGGGCAGUUUGACUGGGGCGGUCGCCUCCCAAAUGGUAACGGAGGCGUACAAAGGUUUCCUCUGAACGGAUAGAAAUCGUAUCUAGAGUGUAAAGGCAUAAGGAAGCUUGACUGUGAGACCUACAAGUCGAGCAGGGACGAAAGUCGGUCUUAGUGAUCUGACGGUACUGAGUGGAAAGGCCGUCACUCAACGGAUAAAAGUUACUCUAGGAUAACAGGCUGAUCUCCCCCAAGAGUUCACAUCGACGGGGAGGUUUGGCACCUCGAUGUCGGCUCAUCGCAUCCUGGGGCGGUAGUACGUCCCAAGGGUUGGGCUGUUCGCCCAUGAAAGCGGUACGCGAGCUGGGUUCAGAACGUCGUGAGACAGUUCGGUCCAUAUCCGGUGUAGGCGUUAGAAUAUUGAGAGGAGCCUUCUUUAGUACGAGAGGACCGAGAAGGACACACCGCUGGUGUACCAGUUAUCGUGCCAACGGUAAACGCUGGGUAGCUAUGUGUGGAGUGGAUAACCGCUGAAAGCAUCUAAGUGGGAAGCCCACCUCAAGAUGAGUAUUCUCAUCACUAUAAGUGAGUAAGGUCACGGUAAGACUAACCGUUUGAUAGGCAUUAAGUGUAAAUGUAGUAAUGCAUGUGCUGGGAUGUCCUAACAGACCGAGGACUUG